This is a small nucleolar RNA of Capsella rubella, 98 nucleotides long. It matches the Rfam family "Small nucleolar RNA Z152/R70/R12/". Rfam says of the family: Z152 is a member of the C/D class of snoRNA which contain the C (UGAUGA) and D (CUGA) box motifs. NCBI's taxonomy places the organism in Eukaryota, Viridiplantae, Streptophyta, Magnoliopsida, Brassicales, Brassicaceae. The record is from Rfam.
AAUGCAAUGAUGAGAAGAAAGCACGAAGAGUGUGAGAAGAGCAGUGGGUUAUACCGUGAGCUCUCCAACUUAAACGACUUCUCCUUCCACUGAGCAUU